CCGGGAGCGCCCUCAAAAAGCUCCGGGAGGAUUUGAGCACCAAACUCCAGACCCGGACGGAAUUCCAGGAAUUUCAGGAAUUCCAGGAAUUCCGGGAAUUUCGGGAAUUCCGGGAAUUCCAGGAGCACUCGGAGGUUUUUCUGGAGAAGCAAAACGGGAACUGCUCCUGCCCCGAGCGGCUCCGGGGAAAUUCCCACCAGGAUCCGGAGGACGAGGACGCGGCCCCGAAGCUCCUCCAGAGGCUCCAGGAGGCGGAAAAACGGCACCAAUUGGAGAGGAAAUCCUGGGAGGUGAAUUCUCCACCCAAAAAUCGGGAAUUC
Malurus melanocephalus (red-backed fairy wren) is the source of this 320-nucleotide long non-coding RNA. RefSeq lists it as uncharacterized. The transcript has 3 exons. NCBI's taxonomy places the organism in Eukaryota, Metazoa, Chordata, Aves, Passeriformes, Maluridae. The record is from RefSeq and is a predicted model, not a curated record.